CGACGACAGCACCGACGAAGACUAUAUUGGCAUCCGGCACGCGGAUUACAGCGGUUGUUGGACAAACGUCGGACGACAGUCACCUGCCUCAAACAUUACAAUCGGCAUAGGAUGCCUUCAGCGAGAAACCCUGUUGCACGAGAUCGGUCACGUGCUCGGCAUGUUCCACGAACACACGCGCCCGGACCGCGACGACUUCGUCGACGUCAGCUGGGACAACAUCCGUUCGGGAGAGGAGUACAACUACGAGAUCAUCUACGAGGCGCUAACGCUGGGCGUGCCCUACGACUACGGCUCCCUGCAGCAUUACCGUGCAAACGAAUUUCUAUCGACGAAUCUCUCUAUACGCUAACACCGUUCCGGACAUGGCGCUUAGGAAUACGAUGGGCGCAGAGACGAGUGGUGUCGUUCCGCGAUGCUGAACUCAAUCAACAUGCACUACU
This is a long non-coding RNA of Priapulus caudatus, 443 nucleotides long. RefSeq lists it as uncharacterized. NCBI's taxonomy places the organism in Eukaryota, Metazoa, Priapulida, Priapulimorpha, Priapulimorphida, Priapulidae. The transcript has 4 exons. The record is from RefSeq and is a predicted model, not a curated record.